RNAcentral lists this microRNA precursor (154 nucleotides) under Amborella trichopoda. RNAcentral describes it as "MIR8565 microRNA precursor family". It matches the Rfam family "MIR8565 microRNA precursor family". Lineage: Eukaryota; Viridiplantae; Streptophyta; Magnoliopsida; Amborellales; Amborellaceae. The record is from Rfam by way of RNAcentral.
CUCCCACCCAUGUGUGUAGGACCUUAAAAGAUCACCAUUAAAUUUGACACAAAUAUUUAGAAAAGUUAUUACAUAGGUGUGGGACUUGACUUUUCUAAAUAUCAAUGUCAAAUUUAAUGGUGAUCCUUUGAAGUCCUACACACAUGGGUGAGGA